RNAcentral lists this ribosomal RNA (94 nucleotides) under Vibrio kanaloae. RNAcentral describes it as "partial 23S ribosomal RNA". It matches the Rfam family "Bacterial large subunit ribosomal RNA", at positions 1 to 87 of the family's 2925-position model. The record is from RNAcentral. Lineage: Bacteria; Pseudomonadati; Pseudomonadota; Gammaproteobacteria; Vibrionales; Vibrionaceae.
GUUGUAUGGUUAAGUGACUAAGCGUACACGGUGGAUGCCUUGGCAGUCAGAGGCGAUGAAAGACGUAAUAACUUGCGAUAAGCCCAGAUUAGGU